CCCUUAGAUGUCCUGGGCUGCACGCGCGCUACACUGAUGCGCUCAACGAGUUUACGAUCUUGCUUGAAAUGCCUGGGCAAUCUUGUUAACGUGCAUCGUGAUAGGGAUAGAUUAUUGAAAUUAUUAAUCUUGAACGAGGAAUUCCUAGUAAACGCAGAUCAUCAAUCUGCAUUGAUUACGUCCCUGCCCUUUGUACACACCGCCCGUCGCACCUACCGAUUGGAUGGUCCGGUGAAGCCUCGGGAUUGUGGUUCUUGCCGCUUUAUUGUGGCGUGACCGCGAGAACUUGUCUAAACCUUAUCAUCUAGAGGAAGGUGAAGUCGCAACA
RNAcentral lists this ribosomal RNA (328 nucleotides) under uncultured eukaryote. RNAcentral describes it as "partial 18S ribosomal RNA". It matches the Rfam family "Eukaryotic small subunit ribosomal RNA", at positions 1470 to 1796 of the family's 1831-position model. The record is from RNAcentral.